CAAAAACAUUUUUUUUUGGUAUAAAAAGUAUGACCUGCCCACUGUGGAAUGAAGGGCCGCAGUAUAACUGACUGUGCAAAGGUAGCGUAAUAAUUAGGUUUUUAAUUGAAAUCUAGAAUGAAAGGUUGAACUAGGUAUAAGCUUUUAUUUUCUUUUAAUUGAAAUUUUUAUUAAAGUGAAAAAACUUUAAUAAUCUAAAAAGAAGAGAAGACCCCUAGAAUUUAAAUUUAUACUUUGAUUUGUUUUUUAAUUUAAUUUUUAAUGGGGGAGUUGAAGAGAAAUUUUAACUGGGGCGGUUUUUUAGUAGAGAUAACCUAAAAUAUGGUAAACUUAUUUAAGAGUUAGAAAGAUCCAUUAGAAUGUGAAAGAAGAAAAAUUACCUUGGGGAUAACAGCGUAAUCUUUUAUUUAAGUUCAAAUUUUUUAAAGGGUUUGCGACCUCGAUGUUGAAUUAAGAGUUAAAAAUUGGGGUAGAGAUUAAUUGUUUAGGUCU
RNAcentral lists this ribosomal RNA (492 nucleotides) under Peltogaster aff. ovalis MH-2013. Its description in RNAcentral is "partial 16S rRNA". It matches the Rfam family "Bacterial large subunit ribosomal RNA", at positions 1808 to 2580 of the family's 2925-position model. The record is from RNAcentral. Lineage: Eukaryota; Metazoa; Arthropoda; Thecostraca; Peltogastridae.